RNAcentral lists this ribosomal RNA (492 nucleotides) under uncultured bacterium. RNAcentral's name for it is "partial 16S ribosomal RNA". It matches the Rfam family "Bacterial small subunit ribosomal RNA", at positions 28 to 523 of the family's 1533-position model. The record is from RNAcentral.
GACGAACGCUGGCGGCGUGCUUAACACAUGCAAGUCGAACGGAAAGGCCCUUCGGGGUACUCGAGUGGCGAACGGGUGAGUAACACGUGGGUGAUCUGCCCUGCACUUUGGGAUAAGCCUGGGAAACUGGGUCUAAUACCGAAUAGGACCACACUCUUCAUGGUGUGUGGUGGAAAGCUUUUGCGGUGUGGGAUGGGGCCGCGGCCUAUCAGCUUGUUGGUGGGGUAAUGGCCUACCAAGGCGACGACGGGUAGCCGGCCUGAGAGGGUGUCCGGCCACACUGGGACUGAGUUACGGCCCAGACUCCUACGGGAGGCAGCAGUGGGGAAUAUUGCACAAUGGGCGCAAGCCUGAUGCAGCGACGCCGCGUGGGGGAUGACGGCCUUCGGGUUGUAAACCUCUUUCAGUAUCGGCGAAGCUCCAAGGUUUUCUUUGGGGUGACGGUAGGUACAGAAGAAGCACCGGCCAACUACGUGCCAGCCGCCGCAGUAA